UCUACUUUCUCCAAUUUAAGUACUUUAUUUCUAGGCAACCAAGGGUCCUUUGAUGAAGUCACUAAAAAUCAUUGAUGAUACUGUUUUGUUGAACAAAUUCUGACAAAUCAGAAUAAUAUGACUCUUGAGCAGUGAUUUCUGGGUUCUACUUGGCCAGCAAAAUUUU
This is a long non-coding RNA of Telopea speciosissima, 166 nucleotides long. RefSeq lists it as uncharacterized. The record is from RefSeq and is a predicted model, not a curated record. NCBI's taxonomy places the organism in Eukaryota, Viridiplantae, Streptophyta, Magnoliopsida, Proteales, Proteaceae. The transcript has 3 exons.